Xiphophorus couchianus (Monterrey platyfish) is the source of this 475-nucleotide long non-coding RNA. RefSeq lists it as uncharacterized. Lineage: Eukaryota; Metazoa; Chordata; Actinopteri; Cyprinodontiformes; Poeciliidae. The record is from RefSeq and is a predicted model, not a curated record. The transcript has 2 exons.
GAGAAGAAGAAAAAAGAAAUGGCAGACUAUGCAGACUAAGCACAUUUCAGCAGAAGUAGAGAAGUUACUACGCAUAAGUGCUGCUGUGAUAUGAAAGAAAUCAGUUUAUUUUGAACUGGAUAAUGUACAUUCUGUUCUGAGAGUUCUCCGGUUGGUUUUUUUUGGGACGACCGAUACCUGAACGAGCCAGUGGUUCCAGAAGCAGGAGGGUUCCGCCGCCAUCUUUGACUCGGACUGAAGCCUGGAAAGACGGAGGGCCUGGUGCUGCUGGAGCUGGAUGUUUUGUGUGGACAACAGAUAAGCUUAUUGAACGAAAAUCUUUUUUUUUUAUUCCACAAACUAUUUGUUCAUGAACAUUUUCAUAACAGACAACUUAUGUGCACAUUGACUGAACUGACUGACUGAACUGUUAUAUUGAAGGACUAACUGGAAUAUGUAAUUUCUUUUGUUGAAAUAAGCUUUAAAGCUACUGUUU